CGGAGCUUGCUCCACCGGAAAAAGAGGAGUGGCGAACGGGUGAGUAACACGUGGGUAACCUGCCCAUCAGAAGGGGAUAACACUUGGAAACAGGUGCUAAUACCGUAUAACAAUCGAAACCGCAUGGUUUUGAUUUGAAAGGCGCUUUCGGGUGUCGCUGAUGGAUGGACCCGCGGUGCAUUAGCUAGUUGGUGAGGUAACGGCUCACCAAGGCGACGAUGCAUAGCCGACCUGAGAGGGUGAUCGGCCACAUUGGGACUGAGACACGGCCCAAACUCCUACGGGAGGCAGCAGUAGGGAAUCUUCGGCAAUGGACGAAAGUCUGACCGAGCAACGCCGCGUGAGUGAAGAAGGUUUUCGGAUCGUAAAACUCUGUUGUUAGAGAAGAACAAGGAUGAGAGUAACUGUUCAUCCCUUGACGGUAUCUAACCAGAAAGCCACGGCUAACUACGUGCCAGCAGCCGCGGUAAUACGUAGGUGGCAAGCGUUGUCCGGAUUUAUUGGGCGUAAAGCGAGCGCAGGCGGUUUCUUAAGUCUGAUGUGAAAGCCCCCGGCUCAACCGGGGAGGGUCAUUGGAAACUGGGAGACUUGAGUGCAGAAGAGGAGAGUGGAAUUCCAUGUGUAGCGGUGAAAUGCGUAGAUAUAUGGAGGAACACCAGUGGCGAAGGCGGCUCUCUGGUCUGUAACUGACGCUGAGGCUCGAAAGCGUGGGGAGCAAACAGGAUUAGAUACCCUGGUAGUCCACGCCGUAAACGAUGAGUGCUAAGUGUUGGAGGGUUUCCGCCCUUCAGUGCUGCAGCUAACGCAUUAAGCACUCCGCCUGGGGAGUACGACCGCAAGGUUGAAACUCAAAGGAAUUGACGGGGGCCCGCACAAGCGGUGGAGCAUGUGGUUUAAUUCGAAGCAACGCGAAGAACCUUACCAGGUCUUGACAUCCUUUGACCACUCUAGAGAUAGAGCUUCCCCUUCGGGGGCAAAGUGACAGGUGG
This 989-nucleotide ribosomal RNA is filed under the name uncultured bacterium. RNAcentral describes it as "bacterial SSU rRNA". It matches the Rfam family "Bacterial small subunit ribosomal RNA", at positions 74 to 1041 of the family's 1533-position model. The record is from RNAcentral.